Molecule: ribosomal RNA, 253 nt
Filed under: uncultured bacterium
Lineage: Bacteria
Description: partial 16S ribosomal RNA
Rfam family: Bacterial small subunit ribosomal RNA
Source: RNAcentral
UACGUAGGGUGCGAGCGUUGCCCGGAUUUAUUGGGCGUAAAGGGCGCGUAGGCGGCUCGGCACGUCCGUUGUGAAAUCGCCCGGCUCAACUGGGCGGGGUCAGCGGAUACGGCCGAGCUUGAGCAAGCUAGGGGGCAAUGGAAUUCCCGGUGUAGUGGUGGAAUGCGUAGAUAUCGGGAGGAACACCAGAGGCGAAGGCGGCGCACUGGACAGCAACUGACACUCAACUGCGAAAGCGUGGGGAGCAAACAGG